This 252-nucleotide ribosomal RNA is filed under the name uncultured bacterium. RNAcentral describes it as "partial 16S ribosomal RNA". It matches the Rfam family "Bacterial small subunit ribosomal RNA", at positions 524 to 776 of the family's 1533-position model. The record is from RNAcentral.
UACGUAGGGCGCAAGCGUUGUCCGGAAUUAUUGGGCGUAAAGAGCUCGUAGGCGGUUUGUCGCGUCUGCUGUGAAAACUCGAGGCUCAACCUCGGGCUUGCAGUGGGUACGGGCAGACUAGAGUGCGGUAGGGGUGACUGGAAUUCCUGGUGUAGCGGUGGAAUGCGCAGAUAUCAGGAGGAACACCGAUGGCGAAGGCAGGUCACUGGGCCGCAACUGACGCUGAGGAGCGAAAGCAUGGGAGCGAACAGG